AGUGAACGCUGGCGGUAGGCCUAACACAUGCAAGUCGAACGGCAGCACAGGAGAGCUUGCUCUCUGGGUGGCGAGUGGCGGACGGGUGAGGAAUACAUCGGAAUCUACUUUUUCGUGGGGGAUAACGUAGGGAAACUUACGCUAAUACCGCAUACGACCUACGGGUGAAAGCAGGGGAUCUUCGGACCUUGCGCGAUUGGAUGAGCCGAUGUCGGAUUAGCUAGUUGGCGGGGUAAAGGCCCACCAAGGCGACGAUCCGUAGCUGGUCUGGGAGGAUGAUAAGCCACACUGGAACUGAGACACGGUCCAGACUCCUACGGGAGGCAGCAGUGGGGAAUAUUGGACAAUGGGCGCAAGCCUGAUCCAGCCAUACCGCGUGGGUGAAGAAGGCCUUCGGGUUGUAAAGCCCUUUUGUUGGGAAAGAAAUCCAGCUGGUUAAUACCCGGUUGGGAUGACGGUACCCAAAGAAUAAGCACCGGCUAACUUCGUGCCAGCCGCCGCAGUAA
This 506-nucleotide ribosomal RNA is filed under the name uncultured bacterium. Its description in RNAcentral is "partial 16S ribosomal RNA". It matches the Rfam family "Bacterial small subunit ribosomal RNA", at positions 29 to 523 of the family's 1533-position model. The record is from RNAcentral.